UAGGGAAUCUUGCGCAAUGGAGGAAACUCUGACGCAGCGACGCCGCGUGGGUGAUGAAGGCCUUCGGGUCGUAAAGCCCUGUCGGUAGGGAAGAAAAACGGGAUAGCUAACAUCUAUUCCGCUUGACGGUACCUGCAGAGGAAGCACCGGCUAACUACGUGCCAGCAGCCGCGGUAAUACGUAGGGUGCUAGCGUUGUUCGGAAUCAUUGGGCGUAAAGCGCGUGUAGGCGGCUAUUUAAGUCGAGUGUGAAAUCCCUAGGCUCAACCUAGGAAGUGCAUUCGAAACUAACUAGCUAGAAGACGGCAGAGGAAGGUAGAAUUCCUAGUGUAGAGGUGAAAUUCGUAGAUAUUAGGAGGAACACCGGUGGCGAAGGCGGCCUUCUGGACCGUUCUUGACGCUGAGACGCGAAAGCGUGGGUAGCAAACAGGAUUAGAUACCCCCGUAGUCC
RNAcentral lists this ribosomal RNA (450 nucleotides) under uncultured bacterium. RNAcentral describes it as "bacterial SSU rRNA". It matches the Rfam family "Bacterial small subunit ribosomal RNA", at positions 355 to 796 of the family's 1533-position model. The record is from RNAcentral.